RNAcentral lists this ribosomal RNA (501 nucleotides) under uncultured bacterium. RNAcentral's name for it is "bacterial SSU rRNA". It matches the Rfam family "Bacterial small subunit ribosomal RNA", at positions 28 to 528 of the family's 1533-position model. The record is from RNAcentral.
GAUGAACGCUGGCGGCGUGCCUAACACAUGCAAGUCGAGCGAGAACCGCUGGAAUGACACUUCGGUAGAAUGAAAGCGGGGAAAGCGGCGGACGGGUGAGUAACGCGUAGGUAACCUGCCCCAUACACAGGGAUAGCCUAGGGAAACCUGGAUUAAUACCUGAUGAAGCAACUGGUCGCAUGACCGGCUGCCAAAGAUUUAUCGGUAUGGGAUGGACCUGCGUCUGAUUAGUGAGUUGGUGGGGUAAUGGCCUACCAAAGCGACGAUCAGUAGCCGACCUGAGAGGGUGAUCGGCCACAUUGGAACUGAGACACGGUCCAAACUCCUGCGGGAGGCAGCAGUGGGGGAUAUUGCACAAUGGGCGGAAGCCUGAUGCAGCAACGCCGCGUGAGCGAAGAAGGUCUUCGGAUCGUAAAGCUCUGUCCUGGGGGAAGAAACGAAAUGACGGUACCCCGGGAGGAAGCCCCGGCUAACUACGUGCCAGCAGCCGCGGUAAAACGU